AUGAACGCUGGCGGCGUGUCUAAGGCAUGCAAGUCGAACGAAUCAUUUUUUGUCGCAAGAUGAGAAAUGGUGAGUGGCAAACGGGUGCGUAACACAUUGGUAAUCUGCCUCCCAGUCGGGCAUAACUCCGCGAAAGCGGUGCUAAUUCCACGAUGGUCUCUCCGACGUAACGUCGGAGAGUAAAGCGCAAAACGCGCUGGGAGAGGAGCCUAUGGCCUAUCAGCUAGUUGGUGAGGUAAUGGCCCACCAAGGCGAUGACGGGUAGGGGAUGUGAGAGCAUGAUCCCCCUCACUGGGACUGAGACACUGCCCAGACACCUACGGGUGGCUGCAGUCGAGAAUAUUCCCCAAUGGACGAAAGUCUGAGGGAGCGACGCCGCGUGCAGGAUGAAGGGCUUCGGCUCGUAAACUGCUUUUGCCGAGGAAGAACCAUGACGGUACUCGGAGAAUAAGAGGUUGCUAACUCUGU
This 468-nucleotide ribosomal RNA is filed under the name uncultured bacterium. RNAcentral describes it as "bacterial SSU rRNA". It matches the Rfam family "Bacterial small subunit ribosomal RNA", at positions 29 to 506 of the family's 1533-position model. The record is from RNAcentral.